CCUGACCCCUGGUCAGAGAUGAGAACCCUCCUUUCAGCUUCCAUGGCCUCCUGCACUUCUCUCUCCCACAGCCCUUGCGCUACAGGGUUGUAACUGUCCACUGACCCAUCUGUCGACUUCACUUGGCCCUGAGCUUUGGUCCCAGGAAAUCCAGCUUUCCUUGAGACGUCUCAGUGGCAUGCCCUAAGAAGCCCCAGCCACAUGGAGAGACCAUGGGAGAAGAGUGAGAUGCUCCAGUCAACAGACCCAGUUGAGCCUUCAGCUGCUACCAGGACCAACAAGCAGCGUGGAUACUGCAAUUAAGGCCCAGAGAAGACCAUUUCCAGGGUCAAGAUCCACCAAUUGUCAGGCCGGAACCCCGGUCUCUUGGCACCAACUCCAGGUCUUUUUCUGUCACCCCGUCUUUCCUCACUGGUGAUGGUUCUCAGGAGCAGGGUGGAGGUGGGCCUUGUGUGUGUGUGUGUUUCUGGGAGUCUGGCCCAGGGUGGGG
RNAcentral lists this long non-coding RNA (490 nucleotides) under Equus asinus (donkey). RNAcentral's name for it is "lncRNA (ENSEASG00005035086.1)". Lineage: Eukaryota; Metazoa; Chordata; Mammalia; Perissodactyla; Equidae. The record is from RNAcentral.